UGCGGAAGGAUCAUUAAAGAGAUAGGGUCUUCAUGGCCCGACCUCCAACCCUCUGUUGUUAAAACUACCUUGUUGCUUUGGCGGGACCGUCUCGGUCUCCGAGCGCACUAACCCUCGGGUUGGUGAGCGCCCGCCAGAGUCCAACCAAACUCUUGUAUUAAACCAGUCGUCUGAGUAUAAAAUUUUAAUUAAAUUAAAACUUUCAACAACGGAUCUCUUGGUUCUCGCAUCGAUGAAGAACGCAGCGAAAUGCGAUAAGUAAUGUGAAUUGCAGAAUUCAGUGAAUCAUCGAAUCUUUGAACGCACAUUGCGCCCCUUGGUAUUCCGAGGGGCAUGCCUGUUCGAGCGUCAUUACACCACUCAAGCAUCGCUUGGUAUUGGGAACGGUCCGUCGAAAGGCGGGCCUUCCUCGAAGACCUCGGCGGGGUUCAACCAACUUCGGGCGUAGUAGAGUUAAAUCGAACGUCUUAUAAGCUUGGUCGGAUCUCAUUGCCGUUAAACCUUUAAAUUUUCUAGGUUGACCUCGGAUCAGGUAGGGAUACCCGCUGAACUUAAGCAUAUCAAUAAGC
This 569-nucleotide ribosomal RNA is filed under the name Hormonema sp. RNAcentral describes it as "eukaryotic LSU rRNA". The stretch from base 198 to 351 matches the Rfam family "5.8S ribosomal RNA". The record is from RNAcentral. Lineage: Eukaryota; Fungi; Ascomycota; Dothideomycetes; Dothideales; Dothioraceae.